AGUGAACGCUGGCGGUAGGCCUAACACAUGCAAGUCGAACGGCAGCACAGUAAGAGCUUGCUCUUACGGGUGGCGAGUGGCGGACGGGUGAGGAAUACAUCGGAAUCUACUUUUUCGUGGGGGAUAACGUAGGGAAACUUACGCUAAUACCGCAUACGACCUACGGGUGAAAGCAGGGGAUCUUCGGACCUUGCGCGAUUGAAUGAGCCGAUGUCGGAUUAGCUAGUUGGCGGGGUAAAGGCCCACCAAGGCGACGAUCCGUAGCUGGUCUGGGAGGAUGAUCAGCCACACUGGAACUGAGACACGGUCCAGACUCCUACGGGAGGCAGCAGUGGGGAAUAUUGGACAAUGGGCGCAAGCCUGAUCCAGCCAUACCGCGUGGGUGAAGAAGGCCUUCGGGUUGUAAAGCCCUUUUGUUGGGAAAGAAGAGCAGCAGGUUAAUACCCCGCUGUUCUGACGGUACCCAAAGAAUAAGCACCGGCUAACUUCGUG
This 492-nucleotide ribosomal RNA is filed under the name uncultured bacterium. RNAcentral's name for it is "partial 16S ribosomal RNA". It matches the Rfam family "Bacterial small subunit ribosomal RNA", at positions 29 to 507 of the family's 1533-position model. The record is from RNAcentral.